This 119-nucleotide ribosomal RNA is filed under the name Pteropus alecto (black flying fox). Lineage: Eukaryota; Metazoa; Chordata; Mammalia; Chiroptera; Pteropodidae. The record is from RNAcentral.
GUCUACGGCCAUGAUACCCUGAAUAAGCCCGAUUCCGUCUGAUCUCAGAAGCUAAGCAGGGUUGAGCCUGGUUAGUACUUGGAUGGGAGACCACCUAAAAAGACCAGGUGCUGUAGGCA